Molecule: ribosomal RNA, 301 nt
Filed under: uncultured bacterium
Lineage: Bacteria
Description: partial 16S ribosomal RNA
Rfam family: Bacterial small subunit ribosomal RNA
Source: RNAcentral
CAGUCGCCGCGGUAAUACAGAGGGUGCGAGCGUUAAUCGGAUUUACUGGGCGUAAAGCGUGCGUAGGCGGCUUCUAAAGUCGGAUGUGAAAUCCCUGAGCUUAACUUAGGAAUUGCAUUCGAUACUGGGAAGCUAGAGUAUGGGAGAGGAUGGUAGAAUUCCAGGUGUAGCGGUGAAAUGCGUAGAGAUCUGGAGGAAUACCGAUGGCGAAGGCAGCCAUCUGGCCUAAUACUGACGCUGAGGUACUAAAGCAUGGGGAGCAAACAGGAUUAGAUACCCGCGUAGUCCCUGUCUCUUAUAC